Molecule: long non-coding RNA, 1115 nt
Filed under: Marmota monax (woodchuck)
Lineage: Eukaryota; Metazoa; Chordata; Mammalia; Rodentia; Sciuridae
Source: RNAcentral
GGGCAGGUGGGUGUGGCCUCGGUGGCUCUGGCUGCCAGGAGUGGAGCCGUUUCCUCGGCCACACCUUCCACCACGACCUUCAGCCUCGCCUCGGUCCCAGAGCAGUGGCGUUGGCCGACCGUGGACUGAAGGUCUGGAACCGUGAGCCCCAGGUGAGCCUCUCCUCCUCUACGUUGCUCUUGUCAGCUGUUUUGGUCACAGCAAUGAAGAGCUGACUAGCACGGCCACUGAUGCGUCCAAGGAGCGCUCCUGUUCCAAGCAGUCACCAUGUCCUCCCUGAAUGCCUCCCAGGCCAGAUCAGGCUGGUCACUUCUCUUGGGGCAAUCAAUGAGUUUAUCCAGUGGACGAGGGGCAGGGUAUCAGGCAGGCACCAGGGGCUGGCUUCAACUUCUGGCCGCUGUGUACGUAGAGAGUUUUACCGACGUACUUACAGAGAAGAGCUGGACGGGGUUCCCUGUGCUGCCGGCCAGCAGCACCUCCGGCUAUUUACUGAGAUGGCUUCUCUGGCUUCCACUCCAUGGUGUGACUUCACUGGCGGAACUUCCCUGGGCACCAGCUCUGUGCCAGGUCCUGGGGAUGGAUGACGCCUGGGCACUCUUUGUUUUUUCGGAACUCGGAGCCUCGGAGCCCUGGGAGAGGCAGACCUCGAUGCAGGACUAGGCAAGGGGGGCUCUGAGACCAGGUGGAAGCCAGGGGCUGUGGGAGCCCAAGGGACGCAGCUGCAGGACUCUGCGUGACCAAGGAGUAUGGCCGGCUACCCACCGGGAGAGGGGGAAGCCGGCCGGCUUGUGCUUGCUCGGCAGGGAGAAUGCCCAAGCCAGCAACUUCAAGGCUAAUUAAGUGAAAAAUGAUGCGAUUGAUUUGUUUGCUCCCAGCCAAAUAGAACUUGGUCAGCAAGGAAAAGCAAUGAGUUUAAGAUUUCUGUGCUCUGAGCCUGCAGGAUGGUUCCAGCAUCCGCCUCCACCCACGCGUUGUCCUGUUGAAAGGCAAUACCACUUAAAUAUUUAAAAACGCGUUUCUCCAACGGGGCGAGGAGGUUGCACUGUCUGCAUUGUGAGGCGGGUGUCGAAAAGGUCCUGGGAAAUGGCCUUAUCUGUUUAGGUAGCCAGCUCGGU